AGCCUUGAAUACUAUUUGAAUUGCAAGUUCAGAGAAGCAGCUGUAAACUCUGCCAGGGCUU
Non-coding RNA from Dasypus novemcinctus (nine-banded armadillo), 61 nucleotides. Lineage: Eukaryota; Metazoa; Chordata; Mammalia; Cingulata; Dasypodidae. The record is from Ensembl.